UACCUUUUGACUUUCUGUUGAUAUAGUGC
This 29-nucleotide non-coding RNA is filed under the name Rattus norvegicus (Norway rat). Lineage: Eukaryota; Metazoa; Chordata; Mammalia; Rodentia; Muridae. The record is from RNAcentral.